Molecule: transfer RNA, 72 nt
Filed under: Sphaerodactylus townsendi
Lineage: Eukaryota; Metazoa; Chordata; Lepidosauria; Squamata; Sphaerodactylidae
Description: tRNA-Ala
Rfam family: tRNA
About the family: Transfer RNA (tRNA) molecules are approximately 80 nucleotides in length. Their secondary structure includes four short double-helical elements and three loops (D, anti-codon, and T loops).
Source: RNAcentral
GGGGCUGUAGCUCAGUGGCACAGCAUCUGCUUGGCAUACAGGUGGUCCCAGGUUCAAUCCCUGGUAAUGUCA